RNAcentral lists this ribosomal RNA (468 nucleotides) under uncultured bacterium. RNAcentral describes it as "partial 16S ribosomal RNA". It matches the Rfam family "Bacterial small subunit ribosomal RNA", at positions 28 to 507 of the family's 1533-position model. The record is from RNAcentral.
GACGAACGCUGGCGGCGUGCUUAACACAUGCAAGUCGAACGGAAAGGCCCUGCUUUUGUGGGGUGCUCGUGUGGCGAGCGGGUGUGUCACACGUGAGUAACCUGCCCUUGACUUUGGGAUAACUUCAGGAAACUGGGGCUUAUACCGGAUAGGAGCUCCCCCUGCAUGGUGGGGGUUGGAAAGUUACGGCGGUUGGGGAUGGACUCGCGGCUUAUCAGCUUGUUGGUGGGGUAGUGGCUUACCAAGGCUUUGACGGGUAGCCGGCCUGAGAGGGUGACCGGCCACAUUGGGACUGAGAUACGGCCCAGACUCCUACGGGAGGCAGCAGUGGGGAAUAUUGCACAAUGGGCGGAAGCCUGAUGCAGCAACGCCGCGUGCGGGAUGACGGCCUUCGGGUUGUAAACCGCUUUCGCCUGGGACGAAGCGUGAGUGACGGUAAUGGGUAAAGAAGCACCGGCUAACUACGUG